Molecule: ribosomal RNA, 497 nt
Filed under: uncultured bacterium
Lineage: Bacteria
Description: partial 16S ribosomal RNA
Rfam family: Bacterial small subunit ribosomal RNA
Source: RNAcentral
GAUGAACGCUGGCGGCGUGCCUAAUACAUGCAAGUCGAGCGAACGGACGAGAAGCUCGCUUCUCUGCUGUUAGCGGCGGACGGGUGAGUAACACGUGGAUAACCUACCUAUAAGACUGGGAUAACUUCGGGAAACCGGAUCUAAUACCGGACAAUAUUUUGAACCGCAUGGUUCAAAAGUGAAAGACCGUCUUGCUGUCACUUAUAGAUGGAUCCGCGCUGCAUUAGCUAGUUGGUAAGGUAACGGCUUACCAAGGCAACGAUGCAUAGCCGACCUGAGAGGGUGAUCGGCCACACUGGAACUGAGACACGGUCCAGACUCCUACGGGAGGCAGCAGUAGGGAAUCUUGCGCAAUGGGCGAAAGCCUGACGGAGCAACGCCGCGUGAGUGAUGAAGGUCUUCGGAUCGUAAACCUCUGUUAUUAGGGAAGAACAUAUGUGUAAGUAACUGUGCACAUCUUGACGGUACCUAAUCAGAAAGCCACGGCUAACUACGUG